RNAcentral lists this ribosomal RNA (303 nucleotides) under uncultured bacterium. RNAcentral describes it as "partial 16S ribosomal RNA". It matches the Rfam family "Bacterial small subunit ribosomal RNA", at positions 507 to 807 of the family's 1533-position model. The record is from RNAcentral.
AGCAGUAGCCACGGGAAUACAGAGGGUGCGAGCGUUAAUCGGAUUUACUGGGCGUAAAGCGUGCGUAGGCGGCUUCUUAAGUCGGAUGUGAAAUCCCUGAGCUUAACUUAGGAAUUGCAUUCGAUACUGGGAAGCUAGAGUAUGGGAGAGGAUGGUAGAAUUCCAGGUGUAGCGGUGAAAUGCGUAGAGAUCUGGAGGAAUACCGAUGGCGAAGGCAGCCAUCUGGCCUAAUACUGACGCUGAGGUACGAAAGCAUGGGGAGCAAACAGGAUUAGAUACCCGGGUAGUCCCUGUCUCUUAUAC